CCUACGGGAGGCAGCAGUGAGGAAUAUUGGUCAAUGGACGAGAGUCUGAACCAGCCAAGUAGCGUGAAGGAUGACUGCCCUAUGGGUUGUAAACUUCUUUUAUAUGGGAAUAAAAUGUUCCACGUGUGGGAUUUUGUAUGUACCAUAUGAAUAAGGAUCGGCUAACUCCGUGCCAGCAGCCGCGGUAAUACGGAGGAUCCGAGCGUUAUCCGGAUUUAUUGGGGUUGAAGGGAGCGUAGGUGGAUUGUUAAGGCAGGGGUGAAAGUUUGCGGCUCAACCUUAAAAUUGCAGUUGAAACUGGAAGUCUUGAGUACAGUAGAGGUAGGCGGAAUUCGUGGUGUAGCGGUGAAAUGCUGAGAUAUCACGAAGAACUCCGAUUGCGAAGGCAGCUCACUGGACUUCAACUGACACUGAGGCUCGAAAGUGUGGGUAUCAAACAGGAUUAGAUACCCCUGUAGUC
Molecule: ribosomal RNA, 460 nt
Filed under: uncultured bacterium
Lineage: Bacteria
Description: partial 16S ribosomal RNA
Rfam family: Bacterial small subunit ribosomal RNA
Source: RNAcentral